CGGUAAAACGUAGGGGGCGAGCGUUAUCCGGAUUUAUUGGGCGUAAAGCGCAUGUAGGCGGUCUUCUAAGUCGGACGUGAAAGCUCCUGGCUCAACUGGGAGAGGUCGUUCGAAACUAGGAGACUUGAGGGUGGUAGAGGAGAGUGGAAUUCCCGGUGUAGUGGUGAAAUGCGUAGAUAUCGGGAGGAACACCAGUGGCGAAGGCGGCUCUCUGGGCCAACCCUGACGCUCAGAUGCGAAAGCUAGGGGAGAGAACGGGAUUAGAAACCCCGGUAUUCCUAGCCGUAAACGAUGUCAACUAGGCGUAGGGGGUUAUUGACCCCUCCUGUGCUGCAGCUAACGCAGUAAGUUGACCGCCUGGGGACUACGGCCGCAAGGCUAAAACUCAAAGGAAUUGACGGGGACCCGCACAAGCAGCGGAGCGUGUGGUUUAAUUCGAGGCUACGCGAAGAACCUUACCAGGGUUUGACAUGCUGGUGGUAGUGAAGCGAAAGCGGAACGACCCUUCGGGGAGCCAGCACAGGUGCUGCAUGGCUGUCGUCAGCUCGUGCCGUGAGGUGUUAGGUUAAGUCCUGUAACGAGCGCAACCCUCGUCGUUAGUUACAUGUGUCUAACGAGACUGCCGGUGAUAAGCCGGAGGAAGGUGAGGAUGACGUCAAGUCAGCAUGGCCUUUAUAUCCUGGGCUACACACACGCUACAAUGGCCGGUACAAUGGGCAGCUAAGUCGCGAGACGGAGCCAAUCCUUCAAAGCCGGUCUCAGUUCGGAUUGUAGGCUGCAACUCGCCUGCAUGAAGUCGGAGUUGCUAGUAAACGCGCGUCAGCAACAGUGCGUUGAAUACGUUCCCGGG
Molecule: ribosomal RNA, 850 nt
Filed under: uncultured bacterium
Lineage: Bacteria
Description: bacterial SSU rRNA
Rfam family: Bacterial small subunit ribosomal RNA
Source: RNAcentral